RNAcentral lists this ribosomal RNA (497 nucleotides) under uncultured bacterium. RNAcentral describes it as "partial 16S ribosomal RNA". It matches the Rfam family "Bacterial small subunit ribosomal RNA", at positions 28 to 507 of the family's 1533-position model. The record is from RNAcentral.
GAUGAACGCUGGCGGCGUGCCUAAUACAUGCAAGUCGAGCGCACAGACGAGGAGCUUGCUCCUCUGACGUUAGCGGCGGACGGGUGAGUAACACGUUGAUAACCUACCUAUAAGACUGGGAUAACUGCGGGAAACCGGAGCUAAUACCGGAUAAUAUAUUGAUCUGCAUGGUUCAAUAGUGAAAGACGGUUUUGCUGUCACUUAUAGAUGGAUCCGCGCCGCAUUAGCUAGUUGGUAAGGUAACGGCUUACCAAGGCAACGAUGCGUAGCCGACCUGAGAGGGUGAUCGGCCACACUGGAACUGAGACACGGUCCAGACUCCUACGGGAGGCGCAAGUAGGGAAUUUUCCGCAAUGGGCGAAAGCUUGACGGAGCAACGCCGCGUGAGUGAUGAAGGUCUUCGGAUCGUAAAACUCUGUUAUUAGGGAAGAACAAAUGUGUAAGUAACUAUGCACGUCUUGACGGUACCUAAUCAGAAAGCCACGGCUAACUACGUG